UGCUGCAUGGCUGUCGUCAGCUCGUGCCGUGAGAUGUUCGGUUAAGUCCGCUAACGAGCGCAACCCUCGCUGUGUGUUACAAGUGUCACACGGAACUGCCGGUCAUAAACCGGAGGAAGGUGGGGAUGACGUCAAGUCAGCAUGGCCUUUAUAUCCUGGGCUACACACACGCUACAAUGGGAAGGGACAAUAGGUUGCGAAGCCGCGAGGCGGAGCCAAUCCAGCAAAACUUCCCUCAGUUCAGAUUGCAGGCUGCAACUCGCCUGCAUGAAGUUGGAGUUGCUAGUAAACGCAGGUCAGCCAUACUGCGUUGAAUACGUUCCCGGGGCUU
Molecule: ribosomal RNA, 331 nt
Filed under: uncultured Anaerolineaceae bacterium
Lineage: Bacteria; Bacillati; Chloroflexota; Anaerolineae; Anaerolineales; Anaerolineaceae
Description: bacterial SSU rRNA
Rfam family: Bacterial small subunit ribosomal RNA
Source: RNAcentral